This 101-nucleotide non-coding RNA is filed under the name uncultured Terrisporobacter sp. RNAcentral's name for it is "SAM riboswitch (S box leader)". It matches the Rfam family "SAM riboswitch aptamer (S box leader)". From Rfam's summary of the family: The SAM riboswitch is found upstream of a number of genes which code for proteins involved in methionine or cysteine biosynthesis in Gram-positive bacteria. Lineage: Bacteria; Bacillati; Bacillota; Clostridia; Peptostreptococcales; Peptostreptococcaceae. The record is from RNAcentral.
UCUUAUCAAGAGAGGCUGAGGGACUGGCCCUGUGAAGCCCAGCAACCAGUACGUUUGUACAAGGUGCUAAUUCCAGCAACUAUUAUUAGUUGAAAGAUGAG